Non-coding RNA from Paramuricea clavata, 534 nucleotides. The record is from the annotation of a GenBank genome assembly. NCBI's taxonomy places the organism in Eukaryota, Metazoa, Cnidaria, Anthozoa, Malacalcyonacea, Plexauridae.
CUCCAACAGACAGCAUACAUAGAUAGACUCAUGUAAAGCUCGGUACAGAUGAGUAAGUUUCUUUGACAAGUUUACUUUCUCGUGUGUACGGUCAACACUUUUUCCUUGACAAGCUUUGUUGCUCGGCUUUCCCCCGCUCAAAAAAACUUAACAGUGUGUUAACAAGGUUUCUUGGCAAGAAAAAAUUGUCAAGUUUUGCCGUAGUACACAAGAGAAAAUAAAAUUUGUCGAGGAAAACUUGCUCGCCUGUUAAUAGACCAACGUUAAAUUAUAGCAACGUACGUCACAAAUUUACCAACCUUUUUGCAGCCUCAAUUCUUCGUUGAAUACGAAGCCUUCUCGCUGCUAUCCUCUCCUCAUGAUCUGACGAAUCAACAGAAGGUCCUGUAUCUUCUUCGUCUUCGCCUUGAGCGCUCAUUUUGCACUGAAAAUUUUGUAUUUCAUGAACCAAAAAUGUGACCAAAAAUAUAUAUGGAGUUCACUCACAAAACAUGUCGUCGCCAUCAUCGGUCGGCAUGACAACACCUGCAAGUG